CAUUUUCUAGGAUGAACCACCACCUAAGAGAAGAAGAACAGCUGAAGAUUUUUUCUCAUUUUGUCAGUUUAUUUUAGAAUAUGAAAACUAUGAGGCCAUAAAGCAAGAGGAACUCUAUCAGAAAACUGCCAGCCCUUCAGAAAGUUCGGAUAGUACACCGGACAGUUUCUCUUCAGAUAGUAACUGCAGUAGCAGUUCUCUAGAAAACAUAAAAUCUACAGAUGUUGAGUCAGAUGAUGACUCUUGGGACAUGAUUACGUGUUUUUGUAUGAAGCCAUUUGCUGGAAGGCCCAUGAUCGAAUGUUCUCAAUGUCUUACGUGGGUGCACCUGUCCUGUGCCAAAAUUCGUCGAAACAACAUCCCAGAUGAAUUCACUUGUUAUCAUUGCAAGCAGACUACCAACUCUAGGAGGAGGAGGUCACAGAGAGUAAGAGAUGAGAGAAGGCUAAGUGCGUAACAACUGUUGUCUUUCCUUGAUCUCAACAUACUGCCUUGUUUUGUAAAUAUUGUUGUACAGAGCUCUUACAGCAUUCACCACCAGUGUCCCACAUCCAUAAUGGAUGAACUCGAUAACAUUUUAUUUUAUUAAGUUUAAUGAACUCAAGACACCAUUGAUCACCAGUGUCCCAUAUCUCCUAUAAUGGAUGAAUUUUAUAGCAUUUUUUUUGUUAAGUUAAAUGAACUCUGUGUCCCACGUUUACCAUAAUGAAUGAACUAUAUAGCAUUUUGUUUUAAGUUUGGUGAACUCUAUGGACAACAUUCACCACCAGUGUCCCACAUUUCCUAUAAUGAACUUCAUAGCAUUUUGUUUUAUUAAGUUUAAUGAACUCUGAGGACAAUAUUCAUCACCAUUGUCCCACAUUUCAUAUAAUGAAUAAACUUUAUAGCAUUUUGUUUUAUUAAAUUUAAUGAACUCUGUGGACAAAAUUCACCACCAGUGUUUCAUGUUUACUAUAAUGAGUGAACUUUAUAGCAUUUUGUUUUAUUAAGUUUAAUGAACUCUGUGGACAAAAUUCACCACUAGUGUUUCAUGUUUACUAUAAUGAAUGAACUUUAUAGUGUUUUGUUUUAUUAAGUUUAAUGAACUCUGUGGACAAAAUUCACCACCAGUGUUUCAUGUUUACUAUAAUGAAUGAACUUUAUAGUAUUUUGUUUUAUUAAGUUUAAUGAACUCUGUGGACAACAUUCACCAUCAGUGUCCCACAUUUCCUAUAAUGAAUGAACUUUAUAACAUUUUGUUUUGUUAAAUUAACUGUGGACAACAUUCACCACUAGUGUCCCACAUUUGCUAUAAUGAACUUUAUAGCAUUUCAUUUUAAAUUUAAUGAACUCUAUGAAACUGCUAGACAUAGAUCAUUAAUUAUGAGAGGAAAGAUCAGAAUGUCAUCUGUUGCAGAACUGUAAUUGAUAGGUGAUAGGAAUGUCAUCUGUUGCAGAACUGUAAUUGAUAGGUGAUAGGAAUGUCAUCUGUUGUGGAACUGCAGUUGAUGGGUUUUGGAAUAAUUUUCAAAUGAACUAUUCCAAAACAUACCACCAAUGGCACUAUAGUUAUUUCUUGAUCACCAGGGUUUCCACUCUUUACCCAUCUAAGCAUUAAAACUGCUUGCACCAGUCUUUUAUACCCCACUCGAUUGCCCUUAGCAAAUUCUAAUUUGCAAAAUUCUCCACAAACUUCAAUGCAUCCUCUAUCUAGGUACUGUAUAUAAGCACCUCAUUUAGAUAAUGUAAUCAAUCAAAGCAUUAUUCACAAGUUAUGUUGCAACUUUGAACGUGAUUGGCAGUAGUAUGGUUAUAUCUUUGUUUAUACUUAUAAAUUACUUGAACAACAACAACAGAAACCAAAAAAAAAAGUAUUGAGGGGUAUGAAUUUCUGAGAUAAUGGAUCAGACUCUUUAUCAUUCCACAUUUGUUCUGCUUUACCCCAAUAGGUCUUUUCUUCCAAAGAUUCUAGCAUCUAGGGAAGGGGAAAGAUCCUUCUCACCAAUCCAUUUCUCACCUUUACGACUGCUCCGAUCCUGAUCGUUUGAUAUGUUCUGUUAGGACCCUCAACAGUUAUGUGGCUCAUACUAACUCAUUUCGAGGUAGUAGGAAUUGAUUGUUCAUCCAUUAGAAUCCUUCUAUUUCCUGUGACUUAUCUCCCAUUACCCUAACAAGAUGGCUUCGUAAAUUGAUUCACAUGUCCUAUAAUGGAUUAUCGUUGCAGGAGAGGAAUCUUUUGUGUGUCACAUCACACCAGAUUUGUCAUAUCUCUAUAUCAUUAGCUGCUCGGGUGAAUUGCCUUCUGGAAUACAUUGUGCCAACUGGUAUAUGAACUACUCCUAAUACUUUCCUAUCUCCUUACCUACAGUGCUUCCAGAGCACUGUUUCUCAGGACUCCCCAGACUCUACUAGUGUAGCUUGAGAGUUCUUAACACCCCCAGUUUCCAGUUGCUGGGGUGGCUGACAGAGGCUUUUCCUCCAGAGUGUUCAAGUAUGUUCCUCCACUCUUGGUAAAGAGGGCAAAGUUGGGGGCCCUCCUACUUGAGUCCCUGGAUGUUUUUCCCAGAUGUCAGUAGGAGUGGCACCAACCUCUGUGGGAGCCUACUCCCAAUUCUGGUUCAGAUUUGACACAAAGCUAUCUGGUUGGGGUGUGCAUGGCCAUUUUCUUUGAUCAAUGUCAGUUUCGUAUAUUGUUCAUGGAAGGAGAUACACAGUCUCUUCAUAAUUCCAAACACAAAGUGGUUCCAUCAUAGGUCGUUGGUUGAGUACAGGUUCCACGUCCUCUCCAUAAUUCCAGGGGCAACCAAAAUACUCCAUGCCCACUUGGUUGGGGAGUGAGGAUGAAUGUUCAUAGUUCCAGACUGGAUGAGUUUUGUUACUUUGGUUGAGUACAGCAUACAAUCCCAUCAUUCCAAGCCUGGGGUGUUGCCUUUUGGACUUUUUCAGGUGGAGGAGAAAGUUUGUCCACCUUGGUGUUGCUUACUUUCUUGUCUUGAUUCCGGUGGUGUGAAAUGCAUCACUCAAUGAUUACAGGUUGGGAUCCAAUCAGAAGUGUGUGUGUGUGUGUGUAUAUAUAUAUAUAAUAACAUUGUGGUCCAAUAGUCCUAGCCACCAAUGUGUGCUAUAGGUACCACAACCCCUUAAAUAUAACCCUGAAUUGUGGAAACUCAGCUAUCUGGUUGAGAUGGCCUAUUACUGAUGAUUACUCGUAUUCUAUUCCACCUUUGGUAUAGGAAGUGAGUUCCAGAUGAAGAGCAUACCUGAUGUAGUGCGGUUCUCCUGCUUUUGUACCAUUUUUAUCUUGGUACACUCCUGUUCUAUACAGAUGCUUUUUGUAUGGUUCAUAUCUGCACUGGCCCCUCCACCUUCUUAAUGUGGGAUUCUAGCUAUAGUGUUAGUGGAGGUAAGAAUGUUUUGGAAGUUAACAUUUUCCUAAACUUAAAAUGUAUUCCCAAUAAUACACUCUCCCACCCUACCUCCCCACUAAAAGCUGGUUUAUGUCUCCAAAAAGUGAUUACAUUAUCUGAAUGAGGUGCUUAUAUACAGUACCUAGAUAGAGGGCACAUUGAAGUUGAUGGAGAAUUUUGCAAGGGCAUUUGAGUGGGGUAUAAAAGACUAGAGCAAGUGUUUUCAAUGUUUAGAUGGAAACCCUGGAGAUUGAGAAAUAGUUAUAGUGUCAGUGCAAGUAAAUAUUACUGGAAAUACAUUUUCAGUUUAGGAGAAUAUUAACUUACUCAAUUGAUAAAAUUGAAGUAAAAGAUAUACCACAUUCAUUUGAUAUAUAAACAAACACUUCAAUUGUUUAUUAAAUGAUAAAGUUAGUCAUUG
Limulus polyphemus (Atlantic horseshoe crab) is the source of this 3807-nucleotide long non-coding RNA. RefSeq lists it as uncharacterized. The record is from RefSeq and is a predicted model, not a curated record. The transcript has 3 exons. Lineage: Eukaryota; Metazoa; Arthropoda; Merostomata; Xiphosura; Limulidae.